Molecule: ribosomal RNA, 251 nt
Filed under: bacterium
Lineage: Bacteria
Description: partial 16S ribosomal RNA
Rfam family: Bacterial small subunit ribosomal RNA
Source: RNAcentral
AGCGUUAAUCGGAAUGACUGGGCGUAAAGCGCACGCAGGCGGUUUGUUAAGUCAGAUGUGAAAUCCCCGAGCUUAACUUGGGAACUGCAUUUGAAACUGGCAAGCUAGAGUCUUGUAGAGGGGGGUAGAAUUCCAGGUGUAGCGGUGAAAUGCGUAGAGAUCUGGAGGAAUACCGGUGGCGAAGGCGGCCCCCUGGACAAAGACUGACGCUCAGGUGCGAAAGCGUGGGGAGCAAACAGGAUUAGAUACCC